AUUGAACGCUGGCGGCAGGCCUAACACAUGCAAGUCGAACGGUAACAGAGAGCAGCUUGCUGCUUUGCUGACGAGUGGCGGACGGGUGAGUAAUGUCUGGGAAACUGCCUGAUGGAGGGGGAUAACUACUGGAAACGGUAGCUAACACCGCAUAACGUCGCAAGACCAAAGAGGGGGACCUUCGGGCCUCUUGCCAUCGGAUGUGCCCAGAUGGGAUUAGCUAGUAGGUGGGGUAAAGGCUCACCUAGGCGACGAUCCCUAGCUGGUCUGAGAGGAUGACAGGCCACACUGGAACUGAGACACGGUCCAGACUCCUACGGGAGGCAGCAGUGGGGAAUAUUGCACAAAGGGCGCAAGCCUGAUGCAGCCAUGCCGCGUGUAUGAAGAAGGCCUUCGGGUUGUAAAGUACUUUCAGCGGGGAGGAAGGGAGUAAAGUUAAUACCUUUGCUCAUUGACGUUACCCGCAGAAGAAGCACCGGCUAACUCCGUG
RNAcentral lists this ribosomal RNA (490 nucleotides) under uncultured bacterium. RNAcentral describes it as "partial 16S ribosomal RNA". It matches the Rfam family "Bacterial small subunit ribosomal RNA", at positions 30 to 507 of the family's 1533-position model. The record is from RNAcentral.